AUUGAACGCUGGCGGCAGGCCUAAUACAUGCAAGUCGAGCGAGUGGCGGACGGGCGAGCAAUGGCUGGGAAACUGCCUGAUGGAGGGGGAUAACGAGUGGAACCGGUAGCUAAUACAGCAUACCAUGGGAUGUGGCCAGAUGGGAUUAGCUAGUGGGGGGGGUAACGGCUCAACUAGGAGACGAUCCCUAGCUGGUCUGAGAGGAUUACCAGCCACACUGGAACUGAGACACGGUCCAGACUCCUACGGGAGGCAGCAGUGGGGAAUAUUCGACAAUGGGCGCAAGCCUGAUGCAGCCAUGCCGCGUGUGUGAAGAAGGCCUUCGGGUUGUAAAGCACUUUCAGCGGGGAGGCGUUACCUGCAGAAGAAGCACCGGCUAACUCCGUGCCAGCCGCCGCGGUAAUUC
This 406-nucleotide ribosomal RNA is filed under the name uncultured bacterium. Its description in RNAcentral is "partial 16S ribosomal RNA". It matches the Rfam family "Bacterial small subunit ribosomal RNA", at positions 29 to 526 of the family's 1533-position model. The record is from RNAcentral.